CCCAAACCACCCUAGUGAAGAAAUGCCCUUGGCAGCAAAUUCCCGUUGAAAGGAAAACAUAAAUUUCUUUAUGAAAUGCAACAGCAGAUCGUGCCAGACUCACAGCUCAGUGACAUGCAAGAGCUCUCAAGGAGAAAAACAAAGGCUUCUGCCAUGGCUGGCUGAAAACAUAAGGGCUUGGCUGGAGAAACAGCCUCUGAAUUCUCUGAGUCACUGCUCACUUACAUCCUGCCCUGCUCCAGCACUUCCUCAUUCACACAGCAGCUCCUUGCAGCAGCAGCACGUCUGGAUCUCAGCACGUGCAGAGGGACACAGGGAGAUCCCACAGAGCCCUCCCUCCCUGUCAGGACAAAGCACCUGCCUCCUGUGGAAGCUGAGCAUCCCUGAACAGCCACCAAAGAUCCAGUCCAGGAGCUGGGACAUGCCCAUGACUGAGCUUUAGUUCAACAACAGAGACACAAGUGGCAGCAGAAGUGUCUGGUGAAGCUCCUGACAAAUUCCC
This 502-nucleotide long non-coding RNA is filed under the name Zonotrichia albicollis (white-throated sparrow). RNAcentral's name for it is "lncRNA (ENSZALG00000002464.1)". The record is from RNAcentral. Lineage: Eukaryota; Metazoa; Chordata; Aves; Passeriformes; Passerellidae.